Molecule: ribosomal RNA, 490 nt
Filed under: uncultured bacterium
Lineage: Bacteria
Description: partial 16S ribosomal RNA
Rfam family: Bacterial small subunit ribosomal RNA
Source: RNAcentral
AUUGAACGCUGGCGGCAGGCCUAACACAUGCAAGUCGAACGGUAACAGGAAGAAGCUUGCUUCUUUGCUGACGAGUGGCGGACGGGUGAGUAAUGUCCGGGAAACUGCCUGAUGGAGGGGGAUAACUACUGGAAACGGUAGCUAAUACCGCAUAACGUCGCAAGACCAAAGAGGGGGACCUUCGGGCCUCUUGCCAUCGGAUGUGCCCAGAUGGGAUUAGCUAGUAGGUGGGGUAACGGCUCACCUAGGCGACGAUCCCUAGCUGGUCUGAGAGGAUGACCAGCCACACUGGAACUGAGACACGGUCCAGACUCCUACGGGAGGCAGCAGUGGGGAAUAUUGCACAAUGGGCGCAAGCCUGAUGCAGCCAUGCCGCGUGUAUGAAGAAGGCCUUCGGGUUGUAAAGUACUUUCAGCGGGGAGGAAGGGAGUAAAGUUAAUACCUUUGCUCAUUGACGUUACCCGCAGAAGAAGCACCGGCUAACUCCGUG